CCAUGGCCCCGCAAGGGGAGCGGCAGACGGGUGAGUAACGCGUGGGAAUCUACCGAGCCCUACGGAAUAACGCAUGGAAACGUGUGCUAAUACCGUAUACGCCCUACGGGGGAAAGAUUUAUCGGGGUUUGAUGAGCCCGCGUUGGAUUAGCUAGUUGGUGGGGUAAAGGCCUACCAAGGCGACGAUCCAUAGCUGGUCUGAGAGGAUGAUCAGCCACAUUGGGACUGAGACACGGCCCAAACUCCUACGGGAGGCAGCAGUGGGGAAUAUUGGACAAUGGGCGCAAGCCUGAUCCAGCCAUGCCGCGUGAGUGAUGAAGGUCUUAGGAUUGUAAAAGCUCUUUCACCGGUGAAGAUAAUGACGGUAACCGGANAAGAAGCCCCGGCUUACUUCGUGCCAGCAACCGCGGUAAUACGAAAGGGGGCUUAGCGUUGUUCGGAAUUACUGGGGCGUAAACCGCACGUUAGGCGGAUAUUUUAAGUCCAGGGGGGAAAUCCCA
Molecule: ribosomal RNA, 500 nt
Filed under: Agrobacterium tumefaciens
Lineage: Bacteria; Pseudomonadati; Pseudomonadota; Alphaproteobacteria; Hyphomicrobiales; Rhizobiaceae
Description: bacterial SSU rRNA
Rfam family: Bacterial small subunit ribosomal RNA
Source: RNAcentral